CAAUAAGCGGAGGAAAAGAAACUAACAAGGAUUCCCUUAGUAACUGCGAGUGAAGAGGGAAAAGCUCAAAUUUAAAAUCUGGCAGCAACCCUUGCUGUCCGAGUUGUAAAUUAGAGAAGUGCUAUCCGCGCUGGCCUGUGCAAAAGUCUCUUGGAAAAGAGCAUCAUAGAGGGUGACAAUCCCGUCUUUGGCACAGAUUCUAGGGCUUUUGUGAUGCGCUCUCAAUGAGUCGAGUUGUUUGGGCAUGCAGCUCCAAAUGGGUGGUAAAUUCCAUCUAAAGCUAAAUAUUGGCGAGAGACCGAUAGCGAACAAGUACCGUGAGGGAAAGAUGAAAAGAACUUUGAAAAGAGAGUUAAACAGUACGUGAAAUUGUUGAAAGGGAAACGCUUGAAGUCAGUCGUGUCUGUCAGAAAUCAGCUCAAUCUUGAUUGGGUGCACUUUCUUUCAGAUGGGUCAGCAUCAAUUUUGACCGUUGGAAAAAGGCCUUGGAAAUGUAGCAUCCCUUGGAUGUGUUAUAGUCUUUGGCUGAAUACCAUGGUUGGGAUUGAGGAACUCAGUGUGACCUUGUGUUUGGAGGCAUAACGCCUUACACUUACGCACUUAGGAUGCUGGCAUAAUGGCUUUAAUCGACCCGUCUUGAAACACGGACCAAGGAGUCUAACAUACAUGCGAGUGUUUGGGUGGAAAACCCAAGCGCGCAAUGAAAGUGAAAGUUGAGAACCCUGUCGUGGGGUGCAUCGACGCCCGGUCCAGACCUUCUGUGACGGAUCUGAGGUUAAGCAUGCAUGUUGGGACCCGAAAGAUGGUGAACUAUGCCUGAAUAGGGUGAAGCCAGAGGAAACUCUGGUGGAAGCUCGUAGCGAUUCUGACGUGCAAAUCGAUCGUCGAAUUUGGGUAUAGGGGCGAAAGACUAAAUCGAACCAUCUAGUAGCUGGGUUCCCGCCGA
RNAcentral lists this ribosomal RNA (946 nucleotides) under Lamelloclavaria petersenii. RNAcentral's name for it is "LSU rRNA". It matches the Rfam family "Eukaryotic large subunit ribosomal RNA", at positions 44 to 964 of the family's 3401-position model. The record is from RNAcentral. Lineage: Eukaryota; Fungi; Basidiomycota; Agaricomycetes; Agaricales; Clavariaceae.